AGCGUCUUUUCCACUUCGGAUACCUUAGGGUGUAAAAGGGAAUCCCGUGCAAAUCGGGAGCGGACCCGCCGCCGUAAGUUUCAAAAAAAGCCAUGCUCCACGCUGUCCACUGGGAUCGGUUCCGGGAAGGACGAGAAUGGUGAAACGAGCCGGAAGACCUGUCCGAGGUCCAGUCACAAG
This 180-nucleotide non-coding RNA is filed under the name Desulfomicrobium baculatum. RNAcentral also lists the same sequence under 1 other name. The record is from RNAcentral. Lineage: Bacteria; Pseudomonadati; Thermodesulfobacteriota; Desulfovibrionia; Desulfovibrionales; Desulfomicrobiaceae.